Pelobates cultripes (western spadefoot toad) is the source of this 305-nucleotide non-coding RNA. The record is from the annotation of a GenBank genome assembly. Lineage: Eukaryota; Metazoa; Chordata; Amphibia; Anura; Pelobatidae.
GGCAAGUGAUGUCCCUCAGGGUUCUGUUCUGGGACCCCUUCUAUUUAACAUGUUUAUAAAUGAUCUUGGAAAAAGCAUUGAAAGUCUUGUUUCAGUGUUUGCAGAGGACACAAAACUCUGUAAAGUAAUACAGUGUGAGCAAGAUAUUACCUUGCUGCAGAGGGAUUUAGAUAGACUGGGGCACUCAAAUGGCAGAUUAAAUUUAAUGUAGAAAAAUGCAAAGUUAUACACGUGGUCUCAAGAAUGCACAAGCAACUUAUACCCUAAUGGAAGCGAAUUAGAGAUAACCACACACGAGAAGGACU